RNAcentral lists this ribosomal RNA (522 nucleotides) under uncultured Blastomonas sp. Its description in RNAcentral is "bacterial SSU rRNA". It matches the Rfam family "Bacterial small subunit ribosomal RNA", at positions 855 to 1375 of the family's 1533-position model. The record is from RNAcentral. Lineage: Bacteria; Pseudomonadati; Pseudomonadota; Alphaproteobacteria; Sphingomonadales; Blastomonadaceae.
ACGCACUAAGCUAUCCGCCUGGCGAGUACGGUCGCAAGACUAAAACUCAAAGGAAUUGACGGGGGCCUGCACAAGCGCUGGAGCAUGUGGUUUAAUUCGAAGCAACGCGCAGAACCUUACCAGCGUUUGACAUGGCCAGUAUGAUUUCCAGAGAUGGAUUUCUUCAGUUCGGCUGGCUAGCACACAGGUGCUGCAUGGCUGUCGUCAGCUCGUGUCGUGAGAUGUUGGGUUAAGUCCCGCAACGAGCGCAACCCUCGUCUUUAGUUGCCAUCAUUCAGUUGGGCACUCUAAAGAAACCGCCGGUGAUAAGCCGGAGGAAGGUGGGGAUGACGUCAAGUCCUCAUGGCCCUUACACGCUGGGCUACACACGUGCUACAAUGGCGGUGACAGUGAGCAGCUAGAUCGCGAGAUCAUGCUAAUCUCAAAAAGCCGUCUCAGUUCGGAUUGUUCUCUGCAACUCGAGAGCAUGAAGGCGGAAUCGCUAGUAAUCGCGGAUCAGCAUGCCGCGGUGAAUACGUUCCC